This 106-nucleotide ribosomal RNA is filed under the name uncultured bacterium. Its description in RNAcentral is "partial 16S ribosomal RNA". It matches the Rfam family "Bacterial small subunit ribosomal RNA", at positions 340 to 445 of the family's 1533-position model. The record is from RNAcentral.
UACGGGGGGCAGCAGUCGAGAAUUUUUCACAAUGGGCGAAAGCCUGAUGGAGCGACGCCGCGUGGAGGAGGAAGGCCUUCGGGUUGUAAACUCCUGUCACCGCAGA